CACAUAUAAUCGACAAUAUUGUCAAAUUUUUGACAUGAUUGUCUCAGAAUAUUUUUGUGCACAAAGUAUUUUUUUUUAUUUGUAUAAUAACGUUCAUACGCUUUUUAUAUUCAAUUUAACAUAAUAAUUGUAAGUAUCAAUCGAGAUCUGGAUAGUUAGUUUUCCAUUUUUAGGGUUUCACAUUUAAGUUUUUAAAUUGCAAGACUGGCGUGAGGAGCUAAAUAAUGUGUUUGAGUUGUUUUUUAGGGUUCCUUGCCCAAAGGGUACAAAGGACCCUCUAUUACUGACUGUCCGUCUGUAUGUCACCAGGCUGUAUCUCAUGAACCGUGAUAGCUAGACAGUUGAAAUUUUCACAGAUGAUGUAUUUCUGCUGCCGCUAAAAUAGUAGGCUGAUUGGUUACCUGUAAUACUUUGUGAUUUCCCGAUAGUUUCAGUACACUCGGCGUCACGGAAAUCGCACACCUUCAUAUCUUUUAUUUAUUUAAAUCAGGUAACACUAACAAGGCCCAUAUUACAAAUACCUUACAGACUAUAUAUACAGGGUGGCUAAUAAACAUAUGUUCAUAUGGUGCGAGCGAUUCUAACUCAUAAUGAAGUAGUUUUGCAAGUAGUUUUUCACCUCAGCAGCUCGAACAAGCCUACUUUCGUCACUCCAGGGAGUGAAACAAUGUAGCUUGUUAAUUUAGUGAAGGCCAUGAACUUCAUACUUUUAUUACAUUUUUUUAUGGUACGGUACGGUCCGGUCCGGUCCGGUCCGGUCUCGUAUCGUAUCGUAUCGUAUCUUAUCGUAUCGUACAUAUUAUAAUACUUUAUUUUCUGUUUAUUCUGUGUAAUUAGAAAUACAUUUUAACCUUUAAUAUGUUCUCACUACUGAGGUGAAAAAUUAUGUGUGCAACACGAGAGCAAAGUUAUUUUACAUCUCGUGUUUAUGAGUCCCUCGCUACGCUCAAGAUUCUACCUUAGAAUCACUCGCUUCGCUCGUGAUUCAAUUAUAGAAUCUUUCGCUUUCUCGGGACUCAAAAUAAACACUCGCAAGAAAAACCAACUUUCCUCUCUUGUUGCACAAAUAACUAUUGUUUACGUGUUUUAUAUAUUGUUAAGAUUGUCGCCCUUUGAAAGAAUCGCUUGCGUCAUAGUAUAAACAGGGCAAAGUUUCUCAGUGCGCAGGUCGAGAUUUUAUUUGAAUGUGCGUGCGGCGACCAUAGAUACAAGUCGCGUGCGGUGCGUUAGUAUGAAGAUAACAUACUUUGCCCUGUUUAUACUAUGCUUGCGCCCUAAGGUAUGUGUAAUGUGAUUUCCGUGACGUUGAGUGUAUAUUGAUUUUCUACUUUAUUGUUAUAAUCAUAAAGUCUAUUAUAAGGUUCAUUAUAUUAUAACGUGUACGUAUAGAGUCAGACCACGACAAGUAUGCAACGAUUUCGACAGCACACGCAGUGCCAGUGUUAUUUAUACGUCAAAAUUUCAUAGAAGUAUGACAUUUAAAAUAACACUUGCACUGCGUGUGCCAUCAAAAUCGUUGCAGACUUUUCCUGGUCUAACUCUAUUUUAAAUAUCGACUUCGCUUAUAAACUACGCUUCUCACGCCUCGUCAAUAGUUCAAAUUUGGAUGGUAUAGAAAGGAUGCCAAUCUCUUAUGGCAGAAUUGUUGCAAAAGUGACCGCUUUCAGCUUUAAAUAAUAGUUCCUAAUCUCUCCGGUGGCGCUAGUUAGGCUCUGGGACAUGAGUAUAACAUGAACCAUAUAAGGCAACAAAUAACCCGACCAAAUUACAUAGGUUGUUUUUGGUAGUAUUUCGGUGUAUGGUGGCGCCGCCUAAUUACUGUUUUUUGAUGGACACUUUUCAUACAUAGAGAUUUGGCUCCUUUAUAUAGUCUCCAUGGUUCAAAUAUUACCAGACCAUUCUGUUAUGUACCUUAUGUUGUAUUAGUUAAGUCCAUUUGUCCAAAACUUGUCAAAAACCUGUUUACGGUACAGAAUAUAUAAGUUAUACUCUAUGGUUUACUAAAAAGGCUAGUGCUGUACUCUGGUGGCAGAACAUUGCAGUAAUAUCCCCUAUUAAUUAGAGUUUGAGAACAUAUGUGACGUUUUCAACUAAAAGGUACCACAUUGUCGCUUGUUGAUAAGGUUGAUUUCUAAUUGAAGCUAUAUGGAAAUAGCGCCUUACUGACAAUUGACAAUAAGUACCCUUUUGGUUGAAAAUGGCACAUAUGACCUCUCUUAUGUCCCAAACGUUAUGUGUAGUAAAAGUACACAAUGUACAAAAUUGUAUGUGAUUUUGAACAAAACGAGUCUACGGAAUGUUCUAUUUAUAUAUGUCUUACGGUUUUAACUUGGAUGGUGUUAUGCAGAAUAUAAGCACAUACAGUCACGUCUAAAAAUAUCGAUACGAAGUGCCAAAAAUAUGUAUUUUAAAUGGGUUGGGGUAAGAUUGAAAUGCUUUUUCAUGAGGGGUGAGCCAAAAAAUCAUCGGUAUGCCGAGGCAUUACGGGCGACUGUUCAUCUUAUCCCUCAUGAAAAACCCUUUCAAUCUUAUCCCAACGCAACCACGACCUUAUUGCCCAUAUAUUAAAGUAGAUUAUACAUAUUUUUGUCACUGUUAGUAUCGAUAUUUUUAGACGUGACUGUAGUAUUUCAUGUAAGAAAGUAAAAAUAACAAAUUUAAAUAAGUUAGAAAGACACGAGUUUCCGUUCUCUUUUAUUCUCCAUAUGACAGGAAUUUAAUAAAGGUAGAUAUUAAGUAGUUGCUUUCGUUGAUUAAAAAGAAUUAUUCGUAAUUAAAAUAAGGCUUAAUAAAUGUGUUAUUUGUAUUUUUUUAGCAAUAAAUCAGUUUUAUUUGGAUAUAUUCUACAUAACACCGUCCUUAUCCUUAUACUGGUGAACAUUGUACAUAACAUUAACUGCUUUGUGAUUAGAAUGAUAAUUUUAUUACAGUGUAAACGUGCCUUAAUAUUUUGGAAGCCAUAUUUUGUAAAUAUAUUUAUAGACAUUUUU
Cydia strobilella is the source of this 2990-nucleotide long non-coding RNA. RefSeq lists it as uncharacterized. Lineage: Eukaryota; Metazoa; Arthropoda; Insecta; Lepidoptera; Tortricidae. The transcript has 2 exons. The record is from RefSeq and is a predicted model, not a curated record.